AUCAUCUGGAAAGAUGAAUCAAAGAAGGUAAUAAUCCUGUAGUCGAAAAUGUUGUCUCUCUUGAGUGGAUCCUGAGUACGACGGAGCACGUGAAAUUCCGUCGGAAUCUGGGAGGACCAUCUCCUAAGGCUAAAUACUCUCUAGUGACCGAUAGUGAACCAGUACCGUGAGGGAAAGGUGAAAAGCACCCCGGAAGGGGAGUGAAAUAGAACCUGAAACCGUGUGCUUACAAGUAGUCAGAGCCCGUUAAUGGGUGAUGGCGUGCCUUUUGUAGAAUGAACCGGCGAGUUACGAUUUGAUGCAAGGUUAAGCAGUAAAUGUGGAGCCGUAGCGAAAGCGAGUCUGAAUAGGGCGUUUAGUAUUUGGUCGUAGACCCGAAACCAGGUGAUCUACCCUUGGUCAGGUUGAAGUUCAGGUAACACUGAAUGGAGGACCGAACCGACUUACGUUGAAAAGUGAGCGGAUGAACUGAGGGUAGCGGAGAAAUUCCAAUCGAACCUGGAGAUAGCUGGUUCUCUCCGAAAUAGCUUUAGGGCUAGCCUCAAGUGAUGAUUAUUGGAGGUAGAGCACUGUUUGGACGAGGGGCCCCUCUCGGGUUACCGAAUUCAGACAAACUCCGAAUGCCAAUUAAUUUAACUUGGGAGUCAGAACAUGGGUGAUAAGGUCCGUGUUCGAAAGGGAAACAGCCCAGACCACCAGCUAAGGUCCCAAAAUAUAUGUUAAGUGGAAAAGGAUGUGGCGUUGCCCAGACAACUAGGAUGUUGGCUUAGAAGCAGCCAUCAUUUAAAGAGUGCGUAAUAGCUCACUAGUCGAGUGACACUGCGCCGAAAAUGUACCGGGGCUAAACAUAUUACCGAAGCUGUGGAUUGUCCUUUGGACAAUGGUAGGAGAGCGUUCUAAGGGCGUUGAAGCAUGAUCGUAAGGACAUGUGGAGCGCUUAGAAGUGAGAAUGCCGGUGUGAGUAGCGAAAGACGGGUGAGAAUCCCGUCCACCGAUUGACUAAGGUUUCCAGAGGAAGGCUCGUCCGCUCUGGGUUAGUCGGGUCCUAAGCUGAGGCCGACAGGCGUAGGCGAUGGAUAACAGGUUGAUAUUCCUGUACCACCUAUAAUCGUUUUAAUCGAUGGGGGGACGCAGUAGGAUAGGCGAAGCGUGCGAUUGGAUUGCACGUCUAAGCAGUAAGGCUGAGUAUUAGGCAAA
This 1197-nucleotide ribosomal RNA is filed under the name Staphylococcus aureus. RNAcentral's name for it is "partial 23S ribosomal RNA". It matches the Rfam family "Bacterial large subunit ribosomal RNA", at positions 337 to 1540 of the family's 2925-position model. Lineage: Bacteria; Bacillati; Bacillota; Bacilli; Caryophanales; Staphylococcaceae. The record is from RNAcentral.